UGGACAGGUGGCCGAGUGGUUGAAGGCACCGGUCUCGAAAACCGGCGUACCGGCAACGGUACCGUGAGUUCGAAUCUCACCCUGUCCGU
This 89-nucleotide transfer RNA is filed under the name Gemmatimonadetes bacterium T265. RNAcentral's name for it is "tRNA-Ser". It matches the Rfam family "tRNA". From Rfam's summary of the family: Transfer RNA (tRNA) molecules are approximately 80 nucleotides in length. The record is from RNAcentral. Lineage: Bacteria; Pseudomonadati; Gemmatimonadota.